GGUAUUUUCAUUUUUCAACUGCCACACAGAAAAUGGAGGGGUUGCCGCUGCCACACAGCAAUUACCAUGCAGAAAAAGGAGUUGAGAAGGGAGUAGCCUCUGAUAUGUAGUCAGCAUGAAUCAGCCUUAGGUUCCCUGCCUCCAUACCCAAUUCUUCUGCCUCAUUAUGAUUCCACUAUGAGGCAUCCAGAGUAGUCAAACUUAUAAAGACAGAAAGUAGAGCUGUGGCUGCCAGGUGGGUGGAAGGAGAGAGAAGUAGUUAUUGCUUAAUGAGUAGGAAAUUUCAGUUUGGGAAGACGAAAAAUGUUCUGAAGAUGGAUGGUGGUGAUGGUCGUGCAACAAUGUGAAUGUACUUGAUGCCACAUAAAAAGUGGCUAACAUGGACCACAUGGAAGGAGAGAAAACACCUGAACAGCUCCAACUGUGGCAGCCAUACCAGCCCAGAUGCCAGACAGUGAAUGAAGACGGGCAUCCCAUUCCCAGUAGAAAUGACGUGAAGAACCGAAAAAAACUCACCGACAGCCCUAGAUAUACACCUCCAGGUGACCAACCCAGACACCACCAACAGUUAGCGCUACUCCAGCUGAAUACUCCCCAACAAAAAUCUAUCCUUGCUAUGUGUUGCCUGAAUUCAUGACCAACAACGGUAUGAACAUAAUAAAAUGAUUGUUAUUUUA
Molecule: long non-coding RNA, 677 nt
Filed under: Homo sapiens (human)
Lineage: Eukaryota; Metazoa; Chordata; Mammalia; Primates; Hominidae
Description: long non-coding RNA NONHSAT217582.1
Source: RNAcentral